UGUGGGAGGGGGCUUGCUCCCGAUAGCCUUGGCUCAGUCACUGAUGGGUUGACUGAAUGCCAUCGGGAGCAAGCCCCCUCCCACA
RNAcentral lists this unclassified non-coding RNA (85 nucleotides) under Pseudomonas trivialis. The record is from RNAcentral. Lineage: Bacteria; Pseudomonadati; Pseudomonadota; Gammaproteobacteria; Pseudomonadales; Pseudomonadaceae.